GGCAUGUUGGCAGUGUGGUUAGCUGGUUGUGUGUCAAUCUAUAUAUCACGACCGCUAUCGGCACUGCAAUUAUGAC
Trachymyrmex septentrionalis is the source of this 76-nucleotide non-coding RNA. NCBI's taxonomy places the organism in Eukaryota, Metazoa, Arthropoda, Insecta, Hymenoptera, Formicidae. The record is from Rfam.